This 394-nucleotide ribosomal RNA is filed under the name uncultured bacterium. Its description in RNAcentral is "bacterial SSU rRNA". It matches the Rfam family "Bacterial small subunit ribosomal RNA", at positions 355 to 766 of the family's 1533-position model. The record is from RNAcentral.
UCGGGAAUUUUGGGCAAUGGGCGAAAGCCUGACCCAGCAACGCCGCGUGAGGGAUGAAGUAUUUCGGUAUGUAAACCUCGAAAGAAUGGGAAGAAUAAAUGACGGUACCAUUUAUAAGCUCCGGCUAACUACGUGCCAGCAGCCGCGGUAAUACGUAGGGAGCAAGCGUUGUUCGGAUUUACUGGGCGUAAAGGGCGCGUAGGCGGCGCGGUAAGUCACUUGUGAAAUCUCUGAGCUUAACUCAGAACGGCCAAGUGAUACUGCUGUGCUAGAGUGCGGAAGAGGCAACCGGAAUUCUUGGUGUAGCGGUGAAAUGCGUAGAUAUCGAGAGGAACACCUGAGGCGAAGGCGGGUUGCUGGGCCGACACUGACGCUGAUGCGCGAAAGCCAGGGG